AGUAUUGAACUGAAGAGUUUGAUCAUGGCUCAGAUUGAACGCUGGCGGCAGGCCUAACACAUGCAAGUCGAGCGGAUGACGGGAGCUUGCUCCUUGAUUCAGCGGCGGACGGGUGAGUAAUGCCUAGGAAUCUGCCUGGUAGUGGGGGACAACGUUUCGAAAGGAACGCUAAUACCGCAUACGUCCUACGGGAGAAAGCAGGGGACCUUCGGGCCUUGCGCUAUCAGAUGAGCCUAGGUCGGAUU
Molecule: ribosomal RNA, 245 nt
Filed under: Klebsiella pneumoniae
Lineage: Bacteria; Pseudomonadati; Pseudomonadota; Gammaproteobacteria; Enterobacterales; Enterobacteriaceae
Description: partial 16S ribosomal RNA
Rfam family: Bacterial small subunit ribosomal RNA
Source: RNAcentral